This 468-nucleotide ribosomal RNA is filed under the name uncultured bacterium. Its description in RNAcentral is "partial 16S ribosomal RNA". It matches the Rfam family "Bacterial small subunit ribosomal RNA", at positions 28 to 507 of the family's 1533-position model. The record is from RNAcentral.
GACGAACGCUGGCGGCGUGCUUAACACAUGCAAGUCGAACGGAAAGGCCCUGCUUUUGUGGGGUGCUCGAGUGGCGAACGGGUGAGUAACACGUGAGUAACCUGCCCUUGACUUUGGGAUAACUUCAGGAAACUGGGGAUAAUACCGGAUAGGAGCUCCUGCUGCAUGGUGGGGGUUGGAAAGUUUCGGCGGUUGGGGAUGGACUCGCGGCUUAUCAGCUUGUUGGUGGGGUAGUGGCUUACCAAGGCUUUGACGGGUAGCCGGCCUGAGAGGGUGACCGGCCACAUUGGGACUAAGAUACGGCCCAGACUCCUACGGGAGGCAGCAGUGGGGAAUAUUGCACAACGGGCGGAAGCCUGAUGCAGUAACGCCGCGUGCGAAAUGACGGCUCUCUGGUUGUAAACCGCUUUCGCCUGUUACGAAGCGUGAGUGAGGGUAAUGAGUAAAGAAGCACCGGCUAACUACGUG